RNAcentral lists this transfer RNA (86 nucleotides) under Verrucomicrobiota bacterium. Its description in RNAcentral is "Verrucomicrobia bacterium tRNA-Tyr". The record is from RNAcentral. Lineage: Bacteria; Pseudomonadati; Verrucomicrobiota.
CGUAGAGUCGGCGCUGUUGUUCGUCCAGCAGACUGUAAAUCUGCUGGCUUACGCCUUCGCUGGUUCGAAUCCAGCUCCUACCACCA